This 194-nucleotide ribosomal RNA is filed under the name uncultured bacterium. RNAcentral's name for it is "partial 16S ribosomal RNA". It matches the Rfam family "Bacterial small subunit ribosomal RNA", at positions 1294 to 1500 of the family's 1533-position model. The record is from RNAcentral.
CGGAUCGGAGUCUGNAACCCGACUCCGUGAAGCUGGAUUCGCUAGUAAUCGCGCAUCAGCCAUGGCGCGGUGAAUACGUUCCCGGGCCUUGUACACACCGCCCGUCACACCAUGAGAGUUGAGAAUACCCGAAGCCCAUGUCAAAGUGGCCGAAGGUAGGCUUGAUGAUUGGGGUGAAGUCGUAACAAGGUAAC